UCCGCCUCCAGUGUUCGCGGUGCCUUAAGGCUAUGUCUGCCAAGAGGUGAAACGGGAAACAGGUGCAAGACCUGUGCUGCCCCCGCAACGGUAAGGAAGUGAGGGACCGCCCCCUCAGCCACUGGGCAUCUGCCUGGGAAGGCUGCGGUUCAAGACUUCCGAGCCCGGAGACCGGCCACGGACAUCACCACGGUA
Molecule: non-coding RNA, 195 nt
Filed under: Denitratisoma oestradiolicum
Lineage: Bacteria; Pseudomonadati; Pseudomonadota; Betaproteobacteria; Nitrosomonadales; Sterolibacteriaceae
Source: RNAcentral